This 465-nucleotide ribosomal RNA is filed under the name uncultured bacterium. Its description in RNAcentral is "partial 16S ribosomal RNA". It matches the Rfam family "Bacterial small subunit ribosomal RNA", at positions 28 to 507 of the family's 1533-position model. The record is from RNAcentral.
GACGAACGCUGGCGGCGUGCUUAACACAUGCAAGUCGUACGGUAAGGCCCUUUCGGGGGUACACGAGUGGCGAACGGGUGAGUAACACGUGAGUAACCUGCCCACAACUUUGGGAUAACGCUAGGAAACUGGUGCUAAUACUGGAUAUGUGCUCCUGCUGCAUGGUGGGGGUUGGAAAGCUCCGGCGGUUGUGGAUGGACUCCCGGCCUAUCAGCUUGUUGGUGGGGUAGUGGCCUACCAAGGCGGCGACGGGUAGCCGGCCUGAGAGGGUGACCGGCCACAUUGGGACUGAGAUACGGCCCAGACUCCUACGGGAGGCAGCAGUGGGGAAUAUUGCACAAUGGGCGCAAGCCUGAUGCAGCAACGCCGCGUGCGGGAUGACGGCCUUCGGGUUGUAAACCGCUUUCAGCAGGGACGAAGCUUUUUGUGACGGUACCUGCAGAAGAAGCACCGGCUAACUACGUG